This 1122-nucleotide ribosomal RNA is filed under the name Vibrio sp. 762M. RNAcentral's name for it is "bacterial SSU rRNA". It matches the Rfam family "Bacterial small subunit ribosomal RNA", at positions 374 to 1491 of the family's 1533-position model. The record is from RNAcentral. Lineage: Bacteria; Pseudomonadati; Pseudomonadota; Gammaproteobacteria; Vibrionales; Vibrionaceae.
GGCGCAGCCUGAUGCGCCAUGCCGCGUGUGUGAAGAAGGCCUUCGGGUUGUAAAGCACUUUCAGUCGUGAGGAAGGUGGUGUAGUUAAUAGCUGCAUUAUUUGACGUUAGCGACAGAAGAAGCACCGGCUAACUCCGUGCCAGCAGCCGCGGUAAUACGGAGGGUGCGAGCGUUAAUCGGAAUUACUGGGCGUAAAGCGCAUGCAGGUGGUUUGUUAAGUCAGAUGUGAAAGCCCGGGGCUCAACCUCGGAAUAGCAUUUGAAACUGGCAGACUAGAGUACUGUAGAGGGGGGUAGAAUUUCAGGUGUAGCGGUGAAAUGCGUAGAGAUCUGAAGGAAUACCGGUGGCGAAGGCGGCCCCCUGGACAGAUACUGACACUCAGAUGCGAAAGCGUGGGGAGCAAACAGGAUUAGAUACCCUGGUAGUCCACGCCGUAAACGAUGUCUACUUGGAGGUUGUGGCCUUGAGCCGUGGCUUUCGGAGCUAACGCGUUAAGUAGACCGCCUGGGGAGUACGGUCGCAAGAUUAAAACUCAAAUGAAUUGACGGGGGCCCGCACAAGCGGUGGAGCAUGUGGUUUAAUUCGAUGCAACGCGAAGAACCUUACCUACUCUUGACAUCCAGAGAACUUUCCAGAGAUGGAUUGGUGCCUUCGGGAACUCUGAGACAGGUGCUGCAUGGCUGUCGUCAGCUCGUGUUGUGAAAUGUUGGGUUAAGUCCCGCAACGAGCGCAACCCUUAUCCUUGUUUGCCAGCGAGUAAUGUCGGGAACUCCAGGGAGACUGCCGGUGAUAAACCGGAGGAAGGUGGGGACGACGUCAAGUCAUCAUGGCCCUUACGAGUAGGGCUACACACGUGCUACAAUGGCGCAUACAGAGGGCAGCAAGCUAGCGAUAGUGAGCGAAUCCCAAAAAGUGCGUCGUAGUCCGGAUUGGAGUCUGCAACUCGACUCCAUGAAGUCGGAAUCGCUAGUAAUCGUGGAUCAGAAUGCCACGGUGAAUACGUUCCCGGGCCUUGUACACACCGCCCGUCACACCAUGGGAGUGGGCUGCAAAAGAAGUAGGUAGUUUAACCUUCGGGAGGACGCUUACCACUUUGUGGUUCAUGACUGGGGUGAUCGUUAA